RNAcentral lists this ribosomal RNA (253 nucleotides) under uncultured bacterium. Its description in RNAcentral is "partial 16S ribosomal RNA". It matches the Rfam family "Bacterial small subunit ribosomal RNA", at positions 524 to 776 of the family's 1533-position model. The record is from RNAcentral.
UACGGGGGGAGCAAGCGUUGUCCGGAUUUAUUGGGCGUAAAGAGCUCGUAGGCGGCUUGUCGCGUCGUCCGUGAAAACCUGGGGCUCAACCCCAGGCUUGCGGUCGAUACGGGCAGGCUCGAGUUCGGUAGGGGAGACUGGAAUUCCUGGUGUAGCGGUGAAAUGCGCAGAUAUCAGGAGGAACACCGGUGGCGAAGGCGGGUCUCUGGGCCGAUACUGACGCUGAGGAGCGAAAGCGUGGGGAGCGAACAGG